Molecule: long non-coding RNA, 1581 nt
Filed under: Marmota monax (woodchuck)
Lineage: Eukaryota; Metazoa; Chordata; Mammalia; Rodentia; Sciuridae
Source: RNAcentral
AUCAAGGCAUGGAAUUUAAAGAAAUCAUAAAGUCCCUGCCCUCCAGAACAUUGAAUGAUAAUGAAGACAGAUAAGUACUCAAUUAAAAUACAACAUGGCAAAAGGAGUGAUGGCGGUAGGCACUGGUUAUUAGAACAUGCAGGAGAAUGGAGCUGUAGCACUCCCUGUGACACAGUGGGAGAGACCAUUUUCAGGGAAGGAAUCCAGAGAGGAGACACCGAAUUGUUUGGGUAUGAGGAGUUAGGUAUAAUGGAAGAAGAGAUGCAAAUCCAGCCAUGAAAGCAAUAAAUGGCAUGUGUGAUAAUUCUGUAUUAUUGGCAUAUAAUUGUGAGAUGGGAAGACAGGAUGGAUGUAGGCAAAGGCUAUACAUGAUGGUUCUGUGAGGAAGGUUGGGCUUUUUUCUGAAGAGGAAAGGAAUCAUUAGAGAGUUUUUUCUGCUAUUUCUAUGGAGGAUGAAGUUGAGGGAAAUGAUAUUUAAGCAGACAGAACAGUUAUGCUUUAUGACCUUGUAGAAUUUCCUCAUAGAAGAUCAUCAGAAAAUUAAUAGAAAAGCCUAAAAAUUACUGUGGUUUUCUUGUGUAUGACAAUUCUUUUCUUCUUUGUAGACGGAGAAGCCUGAAGGGGAAAAAACACAGUCCACUGUUUUCUGAGGAAGAACUGUGAGACCCUCUUGCCUCCACUUGUAAUCAUAGGGAAGUGGAAGCUGUGUUUCCUGGAGACCACCUGGGUGAAAAAUGCUAAAUGGACAUCACAGAAGAGCUGCUUUAGAAGUGAAGUUUUGAUUUGAACCACUCAUUUAGUGGUUGUUAAUUAAAUCAAUCUGGUAAUCUGGGUUUUACUUUUUUAAAUGAUUCAUUUAUGAUUCCAAUAUCAUACUAAAGAGGUAGGAAGGAAAAAUAUUCAGAGUAGUAAAAUUAAGGUAGAAGAGUCUAAGAUAAUAAACAACUUCUGUCACUGAUCAUAAAUGGUUAUAAACUCUCCUACUAUCUAUAUAUCUAUAUCAAUAUCUAUAUCUAUAUCUAUCUCUCUAUAUAUAAUGGCAUAAGAACAAAUGUGAAUUUGUUAAUAAUCAAAAUUAUAGGGCAAAUCUAAAUGAGAGAAAAGAAAAUCCUCAAAAAUUUCAAGUAUUUACCCAUCAAUUUUUUUCUUCUGUGUCCCACACUCGUUUCAGAAUACACAUUAAGACUGUCUUCCCACUUAGACAUACUUUCUGUCUCUGGGGAAUGUAAUGCAUACUGUGAUUCUUUAUGGAUUAACUGUAAGUCCAAGACAGUUUUAAGACAUCAAAACUGCCUAACUGGAAACUCUGAGCUGCCCUCAGCCAGUAACCUAGGGGGCUGUGCAACUCAUAGCCUCUGCCUACCUUCACUUGUUACUGCAAUGGAAAUUUCUAUCACUUCUGUUGGGCAGUGACUUUAACGUCUUAUGACCUUUACUUGGCCUGCCUGGUGAGAGUUCUUUGAGGAAUUACAGUUGUGAACAUGUGCUUAAUUUAUUUUUCACCCUCUUUUACACUUUUUUUCUGCAAGUAUUUUAUGUUAUAUUCACACAUAUUAGGAAACUAAUGUCUGUGUAUCUUUC